AUCUCACUCUCUCUCUCUGUCUCUGUCUCUCUGUGUCUCUGUUUCUGUCUCUCUCUGUCUCUGUCUCUUUCAAUAUAAGGGCAUGAAUUGGUGGAGAUAAAUGGAGGCUUUGAGUCAGACACCAAACUCAUUGAAAAAAGAAGAGCAUUCUAGAAGUUAGUAGACAACAACUACCAAAAUAUUGAUUGGGCAAUAAAUAUAUAUUGAGUGAACCUCAAAGAAGGAGAGGUUACUGAGUGAUGGUAGAAGAAGAAGAGCUUUAAAAUGGCCAUGGGAAGCCACUUCCAAGUAGGAUACCUGUUUUGACCAAUAGUGGGGGAGGGGGGAUAAGAAUUUUUCUUUAACCCUUACGUUCUGUUCUGGAAUCAAUACUGUGUAUUGCUUCUAAGGCAGAAGAGCAGCAAGGGCUAGGCAAUGGGUGUAAAUUGAUUUGCCCAGGGUCACAUAACUAGGGAGUGUCUGAGGUUACAUUUGAACCCAGGACCUCCCAUCUCUGAACCUGGUUCUCAAUACACUGAGCCACUUAGCUAUCCCCUCAUGGGGGUGGGAUUUUUGAGUGAAAGUGAACCACUGCUGGAAAGGGUGGCCAGAGAAAUUGUGUCACCAGAAGGGAGCUAGGUUUAAGGGAACUCACUUAAGAUCAAAUAAGUAAGGAAGGAAAAGAUUUAAAAUGAAAGCAAGUUCAUUACCUUUGGAGAAAGCAUUCAAACAGCACAGUGGAAGGGGUUGCUAACUUGAGAGUGGGAGGCUAGGCUGAGAAGAAGAGACAUGACUGUGGGAACAGAGAACUGGAUCUGAAUAAUGACAGUUUGGGGUUUAAAAUCACUGAGAUGUGGAAAUUAUAACAGGAUGGGGAUCUGUUUAAUCAUUGAAAUAUUAUUUCGGAUAGGUUUCCAGAUAUCCAGACUCAGUUAGAAAGGUAGAAAGUGGAGUAAGAGGAGAAGGAGCUCUUGUAAGGGCCAACUCAGAGAAGGCAACUAAUAGAAGUGGAAUUGGAAGAAGAGGCCACAGGGUCCACUGGGAGGAAGUGCAAUGGGACAACUCUUCCAAGAAGACCUACAGGGUUAGUAAAAUGGUGCUUGGUAUCCAAACCCUCAUUUUGUAAAUGAGAAGACUGAGGUCCAGUUACUUUGUGUGACUCACCUAAGGCUGCUCUGGCUUCCCCAAAGUGAAUGCUGUCUUUGAAAAAGGUUGGUUCUUGGAUAGCAUUCACAUCCACACACACAUAAUUCAUCACUGAGGCCAUGCAUAAUGCCUUUCCAGGUCUUUGAGACCUACCAGAACUUAUACUUUGUUGCUUAGCUGUCAAGAGCCCGUGAACCAUCACAACAGGUCUUUAGAUUAUGAAGGUACAGAUUCUCGACAAAUCUGAAAUGCUGAGUUCACCGUAUAUAGUAACAUAGUCCAGCCUUGUCCAGCUUAGGAGAUAAAUCUCUGUGAUUUCUUGGCUCCAGAUAUCUCUGCUUCACCAAAUUAGUCAGUCCUUUCCCUUUCUCUUGUUACCCAAGAAUUCUCUUUUCUCUCUUCUUCCCUCUUUCUAGGAUUGAGCAGGUUUGGUCCAGAACUAAGAAUCUACACUUAUAAUCCACCUGGCAAGGAAAAGGGAGCUAUGAAAACCAGACUAUUCACAUUGCAACAGAGUAGGAUAGAGAUAUAGGCAGGAGCCACAUAGGGAGAGUCGACAAUUAAAUUUUCAAUUUGAGCAUUUCACCUCAGAAACUGGCAGGCCUUGAUUUAUUGCUUUGCUGAUUGGCUUGACAUGAGAAAAUGUUAAUGCUGUAGAUUAAACUUAAAAGUAAAUUCAACAUUUUCUUCUGGGGAACUGAUUGCUAAAUACUUACUAGUAUAUUCUUGUAUUGCUCCAGAAACAUUGCUUAAAGUCGGCAGGAAUGCAAUAGAAGCCUUAAGGAAUGAACUCAUCAGCAGGUUUGAGUCCUGGUGAUUGUAAGCUAACCGUAGUAGUAAUAAUAACAAUAUCAUAACUUGUAUUGACACCGAGUUUUAAGGUUUGCAAAAUGCUUUUUAUCUAUCAUCUCAUUUGAGCCUCACGACACUCCUGGAAAGAGCUGGAACGUUUGGGAUGGACCCUUCACAGGUUUCUUCAUAAAUCUGCUGCUGAACUUGAACUCCUUGCUGUGAACAGCCUGAUGAAGAAGCAGCUGAAAGAUGGAAAGCAGAGUCAUCCAAAUCCAGUGGCAAGACAAAAGUCAAGCUAGUGGACCAGUGAUAGCCCAAGGAUGAAGUGGAUGAUGUUAGCAUCUUCAAUGUCUAAUCAAGCUUAGGUGCUCCUCAGCACCUGCUUUAGCUGCUUUCAUGGCCAUUGGAACAAAUUGUUCUCAUCUGUCCAUUCUGCUGGGAGAAUUCUUCACAUGCUUGGGGUAAACAUCCCCCUAAUUCAGCAAAGGAAGACUGCCAUCUGAGAUCAUGCUUGGAGAUAGGCCCUGGCACCAUGGAUAGAGCACUGGGCUUAGAAUCAGGCCAGUUCCUGCCCCACCUCCUUCAUAAAGUCUUCUGUGACGGAGGCCAAUGAAGGAUAUGCUUUCCUUUAUGAUGGAUUCUCUGCAGAAUCAAAUGAAAGGUUUUUGAAAGCUUCCUUUAAACUUAAAAGAGCACUAUCAGAAUGGGGAAGGACACUGGAGAAAACUAUGAAGAUGUAAAAACAAAAGACAUUAAUAAAAUCUUAUUAAUAAAAACAACUAUACAGAGC
Molecule: long non-coding RNA, 2707 nt
Organism: Monodelphis domestica (gray short-tailed opossum)
Lineage: Eukaryota; Metazoa; Chordata; Mammalia; Didelphimorphia; Didelphidae
Source: RefSeq, a predicted model, not a curated record